Brevibacterium yomogidense is the source of this 73-nucleotide non-coding RNA. The record is from Rfam. NCBI's taxonomy places the organism in Bacteria, Bacillati, Actinomycetota, Actinomycetes, Micrococcales, Brevibacteriaceae.
GCGGAUGUGGCUCAGCUGGUAGAGCAUCACCUUGCCAAGGUGAGGGUCGCGGGUUCGAAUCCCGUCAUCCGCU